This is a long non-coding RNA of Varanus komodoensis (Komodo dragon), 1852 nucleotides long. NCBI's taxonomy places the organism in Eukaryota, Metazoa, Chordata, Lepidosauria, Squamata, Varanidae. The record is from Ensembl.
UGUGUAAUCUUGCCACCUCUUCUUAAUCUCCUCUGCCUCUGUUAGGUCCCCUCAUUUUUCUCCUUUAUCAUGCCCAUCUUUGCAUGCAACGGUAACCAGGUCCUAAGCCAUCCAGUGACAAACCGUAAUGGAUGGAGGGCGGGGGGGGGGGGGAAUAUCCUAAUAAAUAAAUCAAAUAAAUGCUUAGAUCACAUCGGAAUUUCCCUGUACUAAGUCCAACCCUGGGUCUAUCCAGUCAACCAGCCAGCAGAAGCCAAGGGUUCAGGCAUGGUUUCUCUCCCACCUGGUUAUGCCACCAGGCAAAGCAAGGACUGUAUCACUAACCUAUGGCUCUUCAGCACCCUUUCCUUCUCUCCACUUACUGUGAGACUUGAUAUGAGCUCCUUGUUUUUCUGCUCUGAUUUAGGACAAGGAGAAAAAAAAGAAAGAGAGCAUCUUGGACCUGUCGAAAUACAUCGACAAGACCAUCCGUGUGAAGUUUCAGGGAGGCCGGGAAGCAAGCGGUGUCUUGAAAGGAUUUGACCCGUUACUGAAUUUGGUGCUGGAUGGUACCAUUGAAUAUAUGAGAGAUCCAGAUGACCAGUACAAGCUCACCGAGGACACCCGGCAGCUGGGGCUGGUAGUCUGCCGGGGGACCUCGGUGGUCCUCAUUUGCCCCCAGGAUGGGAUGGAGGCCAUCCCAAACCCCUUCAUUCAGCAGCAAGAUGGCUAGCCUCUAAUAGGGGCAGCAGUGGAAAUCUUGGGACUGAAAAGGGCAUCACCCAAGAAGAUCUCUGUUCAGUAUUUUUUACACUUGUUUUAUAUGGGAGGAAAACAUUGGAAUUUCUCGUUUUUUUACUUUGGGUUAGAUGCUGCAUAUUGCGAUGGGAAAACCUUGCAGCCAGAUGUCCAGAAUCCAUUUCAAAAAAUUCCCCCAUUGCAGAAAACUCCAGCCCAAGUUUAGAUCCAUGAAUUAAUCCAGGAAGUUUCAGUAAAGACUAACACAGGAGGAGAUCCGAGAAAUUUUUGUUCCUUUCUCCUUAGAGGCAGCUCCUCCAGGCUUCAUUUUUUUUCUGUUGACGGAAUCUACAUUCCUUUCCAGAGGGUGUGGAUUUGGGAGCACAUGCUGCUGUCUGGGUUUCUUCUUUUGUACGCUGCACAAAUUGUCAGGAAUGUUGAUGAAGCUAGUGCAGAACUUUCCAUGCCUGGCGGUGAAUUUUUCUUUAUUUUUUUCCAUUCUGGUGGAAAGGACUUGUGAGUUCAUUAAUAAUAAAAUCUAUGCUUGAACACUUGCUUUCUUUGAAUGUGGCUGUGAUGUUUUGGAAUGUAAAAGACAAAGAAGAGCUUCAGACAGACUUAACUGGGGACAGCAUGGGAUUUCAUUUUAAUAUCCCAUUUGGAAAAUCCAUCAAAUUUAUUUGAACUUAGAAUCAUGGAAUAGUGGAGUUGGACAUUCAUUUCUCUUUGAAUGUCAUAGAGAUGGGAUAGUGUAUUCUCUCUGAAAUCCAUAAUUUAAAAUAUAUAUUGUGAGAUAAUGUAGUUACAGGAAUCCCCAUCCUGCGCCCAGAGAAGACCCCCUGCCCAAAUCUUAAGGGGCGGGCAGGCAUAUACGGAAGGAGAUGCUCCUUCAGGUAACCAGGCCCUAAGCCAUUUAGGGUUUUCUAGAUCAUCACCAGCACCUUAAAUUGGGCCCAGACUUCAACUGGAAGCCAAUGUAGAUGGAAAAGGAACAGCGUUCUAUGUUCGUGACUGUUGGUCCCUCUGAACAACCCGGCAGCUCAAUUCUGGACCAGUUGAAGCAUCCGAACCAUCUUCAAGGGCAGUCCCACAGUUGUCCAGCUGGGAAGUUGUUCCCAGAGUGUGUGUCUCCAUU